Molecule: ribosomal RNA, 380 nt
Filed under: uncultured eukaryote
Lineage: Eukaryota
Description: partial 18S ribosomal RNA
Rfam family: Eukaryotic small subunit ribosomal RNA
Source: RNAcentral
CAAUAGCGUAUAUUAAAGUUGCUGCAGUUAAAAAGCUCGUAGUUGCAUUUCCGAGGCAAGGGAUUAGUCCGACCUUUGGUGGGUAUUUAAUCCUCUUGCCUCGUCCUUGAGUGGUGCUUCUUGGUAUUAAGUUAUCGAGGAGAUAGCCGCUCAUCGUUUACUGUGAGAAAAUUAGAGUGUUCAAAGCAGGCUUAUGCCGUUGAAUAUAUUAGCAUGGAAUAAUAAGAUAGGACCUCGGUACUAUUUUGUUGGGUUGAGAACCAAGGUAAUGAUGAAUAGGGACAGUUGGGGGUAUUCGUAUUCAGUUGUCAGAGGUGAAAUUCUUAGAUUUACGGAAGACGAACUACUGCGAAAGCAUUUACCAAGGAUGUUUUCAUUAA